UACGAAGGGUGCAAACGUUGCUCGGAAUUAUUGGGCGUAAAGCGCCCGCAGGCGGCUUGGCAAGUUCGAGGUGAAAUCUCCCGGCUCAACUGGGAGGGUGCCUCGAAAACUGCCAGGCUUGAGGCAGGGAGAGGGAUGUGGAAUUCCCGGUGUAGUGGUGAAAUGCGUAGAUAUCGGGAGGAACACCAGUGGCGAAGGCGGCAUCCUGGCCCUGUCCUGACGCUCAGGGGCGAAAGCGUGGGGAGCAAACCGG
Molecule: ribosomal RNA, 253 nt
Filed under: uncultured prokaryote
Description: partial 16S ribosomal RNA
Rfam family: Bacterial small subunit ribosomal RNA
Source: RNAcentral